AGAUGCAUUUGAAUGGCUAUGCACUGAGGCGUAAGCCACUUUUAACAGGGGAAACAUAAGUAAGAGACAUUUUCUUUCAAUGGAGAUGCGGAGCGGACAGGGAAGUUGGUCUUCUCAAGGAAAACACUGAAUGGUUCAUGCUGGCUUAACAGAAAAAUCGAAAGGAGAUGAUGUGCUUGAAGAGUAUGAAGCCACCAAUACAUUAAGUGGAAUGAGAAGAGCUUUGUUAGGACACAUACCAGAGACAUGGCUCCAGAAGUGGCGCCAAAGAUCUUCAGCAAACAAGCAGAGCUUUCAGUCCCAUUGUGUUCAGACUCUUUUGCCAAACAAGAUGCUGCGGAGUAUCGUCCUGAUUGCCCUGCUGAUAUCCUCAGGUAA
This is a long non-coding RNA of Onychostoma macrolepis, 378 nucleotides long. RefSeq lists it as uncharacterized. The record is from RefSeq and is a predicted model, not a curated record. NCBI's taxonomy places the organism in Eukaryota, Metazoa, Chordata, Actinopteri, Cypriniformes, Cyprinidae. The transcript is spliced from 4 exons.